CGAAAGCCUGACGGAGCAAUACCGCGUGAGGGAGGAAGGCUCUUGGGUUGUAAACCUCUUUUCUCAGGGAAGAGCAAAAUGACGGUACCUGAGGAAUCAGCAUCUGCUAACUCCGUGCCAGCAGCCGCGGUAAUACGGAGGAUGCAAGCGUUAUCCGGAAUGAUUGGGCGUAAAGCGUCCGCAGGUGGCCUUGAAAGUCUGCUGUCAAAGAGUCUGGCUCAACCAGAUAAAGGCAGUGGAAACUACAAAGCUAGAGUACGUUCGGGGCAGAGGGAAUUCCUGGUGUAGCGGUGAAAUGCGUAGAGAUCAGGAAGAACACCGGUGGCGAAAGCGCUCUGCUAGGCCGUAACUGACACUGAGGGACGAAAGCUGGGGGAGCGAAUGGGAUUAGAUACCCCAGUAGUCCUAGCCGUAAACGAUGGAUACUAGGUGUUGCUUGUAUCGACCCGAGCAGUACCGUAGCUAACGCGUUAAGUAUCCCGCCUGGGGAGUACGCAGGCAACUGUGAAACUCAAAGGAAUUGACGGGGGCCCGCACAAGCGGUGGAGUAUGUGGUUUAAUUCGAUGCAACGCGAAGAACCUUACCAGGGCUUGACAUGUCGCGAAUCAUGGGGAAACUCGUGAGUGCCUUCGGGAGCGCGAACACAGGUGGUGCAUGGCUGUCGUCAGCUCGUGUCGCGAGAUGUUGGGUUAAGUCCCGCAACGAGCGCAACCCUCGUUUUUAGUUGCCAUCAUUAAGUUGGGCACUCUGGAGAGACUGCCGGUGACAAACCGGAGGAAGGUGGGGAUGACGUCAAGUCAGCAUGCCCCUUACGUCCUGGGCUACACACGUACUACAAUGCUCCGAACAGAGGGCAGCAAGCAUGCGAAUGCAAGCUAAUCCCGGAAGUCGUAGCUCGGUUCAGAUCGCAGGCUGCAACUCGCCUGCGUGAAGUUGGAAUCGCUAGUAAUUGCAGGUCAGCAUACUGCAGUGAAUUCGUUCCCGGGCCUUGUACACACCGCCCGUCACACCAUGGAAGCUGGUAGUGCCCGAAGUCAUUACCCCAACCUUUCGGGGAGGGGGAUGCCUAAGGCAGGA
RNAcentral lists this ribosomal RNA (1078 nucleotides) under Stigonema turfaceum CBFS A-031. RNAcentral's name for it is "bacterial SSU rRNA". It matches the Rfam family "Bacterial small subunit ribosomal RNA", at positions 376 to 1467 of the family's 1533-position model. The record is from RNAcentral. Lineage: Bacteria; Bacillati; Cyanobacteriota; Cyanophyceae; Nostocales; Stigonemataceae.